CCUACGGGUGGCAGCAGUGGGGAAUAUUGGGCAAUGGGCGCAAGCCUGACCCAGCAACGCCGCGUGAAGGAAGAAGGCCCUCGGGUUGUAAACUUCUUUUAUUCGGGACGAAACAAAGGACGGGAGCGAAUGAAUAAGCCACGGCUAACGACGUGCCAGCAGCCGCGGUAAGACGUAGGGGGCAAGCGUUAUCCGGAUUUACUGGGUGUAACGGGCGUGUAGGCGGGAGAGCAAGUCAGACGUGCAGUUCCCGGGCUCCACCCUGGAACUGCGUUUGAAACGGUUCUUCUUGAGUGAUGGAGCGGCAGGCGGCAUUCCGUUUGUAGCGGUGACAUGCGUAGCUAUUCGGAGGAACACCAGUGGCGAAGGCGGCCUGCUGGACCUUACCUGACGCUGAGGCGCGAACGCGUGGGGAGCAAACAGGAUUAGCUACCCGAGUAGUC
RNAcentral lists this ribosomal RNA (443 nucleotides) under uncultured bacterium. Its description in RNAcentral is "partial 16S ribosomal RNA". It matches the Rfam family "Bacterial small subunit ribosomal RNA", at positions 338 to 795 of the family's 1533-position model. The record is from RNAcentral.